GAUUAACGCUAGCGGAAGGCAUAAUACAUGCAAGUCGAACGGGAUAGAACUUAGCAAUAGGUUCUUGAGAGUGGCGCACGGGUGCGUAACACGUAUGCAACCUACCUUUAACUGGGGGAUAGCCUCUCGAAAGAGAGAUUAAUACCCCAUAGUAUAACUGAAGAGCUAUUUUUUGGUUAUUAAAGAAUUUCGGUAUAUGCUGGGCAUGCGUGACAUUAGCUAGUUGGAGAGGUAACGGCUCACCAAGGCUACGAUGUCUAGGGGUUUUGAGAGGAAGAUCCCCCACACUGGUACUGAGACACGGACCAGACUCCUACGGGAGGCAGCAGUGAGGAAUAUUGGUCAAUGGACGGAAGUCUGAACCAGCCAUGCCGCGUGAAGGAAGACUGCCCUAUGGGUUGUAAACUUCUUUUAUACGGGGAUAAACCUAUCUUUGCGAAGAUAGCUGAAGGUACCGUAUGAAUAAGCAUCGGCUAACUCCGUG
Molecule: ribosomal RNA, 484 nt
Filed under: uncultured bacterium
Lineage: Bacteria
Description: bacterial SSU rRNA
Rfam family: Bacterial small subunit ribosomal RNA
Source: RNAcentral